GCCGACGUGGCGGAAUUGGCAGACGCGCUGGACUCAAAAUCCAGUGGUAGCGAUACCGUGUGGGUUCGACCCCCUCCGUCGGCACCA
This 87-nucleotide transfer RNA is filed under the name Verrucomicrobiota bacterium. RNAcentral describes it as "Verrucomicrobia bacterium tRNA-Leu". It matches the Rfam family "tRNA". From Rfam's summary of the family: Transfer RNA (tRNA) molecules are approximately 80 nucleotides in length. Their secondary structure includes four short double-helical elements and three loops (D, anti-codon, and T loops). Further hydrogen bonds mediate the characteristic L-shaped molecular structure. tRNAs have two regions of fundamental functional importance: the anti-codon, which is responsible for specific mRNA codon recognition, and the 3' end, to which the tRNAs corresponding amino acid is attached (by aminoacyl-tRNA synthetases). tRNAs cope with the degeneracy of the genetic code in two manners: having more than one tRNA (with a specific anti-codon) for a particular amino acid; and 'wobble' base-pairing, i.e. permitting non-standard base-pairing at the 3rd anti-codon position. The record is from RNAcentral. RNAcentral also lists the same sequence under 2 other names. Lineage: Bacteria; Pseudomonadati; Verrucomicrobiota.